Molecule: ribosomal RNA, 395 nt
Filed under: uncultured bacterium
Lineage: Bacteria
Description: bacterial SSU rRNA
Rfam family: Bacterial small subunit ribosomal RNA
Source: RNAcentral
ACUCCUACGGGAGGCAGCAGUGGGGAAUCUUAGACAAUGGGGGCAACCCUGAUCUAGCCAUGCCGCGUGAGUGAUGAAGGCCUUAGGGUUGUAAAGCUCUUUCAGCUGGGAAGAUAAUGACGGUACCAGCAGAAGAAGCCCCGGCUAACUCCGUGCCAGCAGCCGCGGUAAUACGGAGGGGCUAGCGUUGUUCGGAAUUACUGGGCGUAAAGCGCACGUAGGCGGACAGGAAAGUUGGGGUGAAAUCCCGGGGCUCAACCUCGGAACUGCCUCCAAAACUAUCUGUCUGGAGUUCGAGAGAGGUGAGUGGAAUUCCGAGUGUAGAGGUGAAAUUCGUAGAUAGUUCGGAGGAACACGAGUGGCGAAGGCGGCUCACGUGGCUCGAUACUGACGCU